CGUCUGUCACCUCUUCACCUCACUCAUUUUCAGCUUCUUCAUUACUUUUUCAUGUUUCUCCACUGUAGAAGGAAAUCAUAAUGUAAGAUUGUAGAUGGAAACCAUAAAGCAAGAUUGAAGACUUUUUUCAUUUUAGUAACCAAGAAGAGGUUGAAAUGUUUUCAGAGAGAGAAGGUGGAGAACAUUUCACGGAGCACCGAACCUUCGAACCUUCGAGCCAGCCACCACAACUCUCGUCGGAUAGCCGCCGCCCGUAGACGUUGUCGUUGUCGUUUUCGCUCCAUCCAGUGGCGCCGGUGUCCGUCGUCUUCCACCCAGCCAGGCAGUUCGGAUUGCGGGUCGCCGCAGCUCCGGCGUCAGCAGACGAACCGAAGACGACAUCGUCUUCCCUCCUGCCCAGCCAACCAAGGGCGUGUUUUGAGUAUCGAUUCCUCCCACCCGCUUCCUUCCCUGUGCCGGACCCUUGCGGUGGCCGCCGGAGCAUCGCCGGAGUGUCGUCGAAGUGUCGCCGGACCCUUUCAAGGUAUGGUUUAGUGUGGGUUGAAGUUGUGUAAAAGAUUUAGUGCCACCGGUGGAACUAUUCGCGAACCCUAUUCACGAUCCAACUUCAGAACAUGAUAUCUUUGCAAGCUCUUUUCUUGCUUAUUCAAUGUUUGCUUUGAGACUAGAAAUGAACAAAUUAUCUGAGGAUGUGUCUUUGUUUGUAAAUUGCCUUAGUCUUUCUUUGAUAUUUGAUUGUGGAGUAAUUGUUUUUAAAAUUAUGGAAUUGUGAGAUGACAUCGAGAAAUACGAAGGCAACACAAUGCUAGUUACACAACAGUUAGGAAGAAACAUGUUUGUGAUUGGAUUUUGGAUGUGGACAAUGUGCGGAGGGCUGAAGUGUUGCCAGAUUUAGGCAUUGUGUAGAUGUUGUUGAAUAGGGAUUUUUGUAAUGUUAUUGAUGAUUUGUUUAUAACUUUUUCAAUAUGUAUUGAUGAUGACUGAAUGUACAUAUUUGUUGUUAAAAGUGUUCAAAGAAAAGUAGUGAUUACAUUUAUUGUUAAUGAAAUU
This 1050-nucleotide small RNA is filed under the name Vigna angularis var. angularis. RNAcentral describes it as "Non-protein coding transcript". The record is from RNAcentral. Lineage: Eukaryota; Viridiplantae; Streptophyta; Magnoliopsida; Fabales; Fabaceae.